This is a non-coding RNA of Triticum urartu, 135 nucleotides long. The record is from Rfam. Lineage: Eukaryota; Viridiplantae; Streptophyta; Magnoliopsida; Poales; Poaceae.
GAAGUACUCCCUCCGCCCGAAAAUACUUGUCAUCAAAAUGGAUGAAAAAAGAUAUAUCUAGAACUAAAAUAUAUCUAAAUACAUCCCUUUUUAUCCAUUUUGAUGACAAGUAUUUCCGGACGGAGGGAGUAUAUG